GCCGGCUGCGGACGCGGGAAGGGAGAUGGUGGUGACUGACGGAGCUGGGUGAAGCUUCUGCAGAUGGCCUCCCCUCUCUGCGAGUGGUUCCUUAUCGAGGCAAUGGAGAUGUGGACUGCGGUGACUCUGAUCAAGCCUCACAUAUCUAUUGAAUCAGGAACCCCGAAGUCCUGAGGCCUCCCGAGUGGCCCCAUGGGAGCGUCGUGCAUUUUUCUGGGCCCGAUGACGAUGCUGGCCUGGCGGGGGACUUGGCUGACCCGGCCUCCGCACAGGUGGACUAGUUCACAGAGCUUGGCCACUGGGGGGCUGCUGGCAGGCGAGACAAACAUCACUGGCUGGUCGGCAAAGAGGGUUCCGCGCAUAAUAAAUACCGAGCCUCAGCAGCUUUCAUGUGCCUUGCAGGAGACAGUGGCAGCAGGGGCAAAUGAUUCUUCCUGGAUGGUGACUUUAACAAAGACUUCUUCUGGGGGGCACCGAUCUCCACCUGGCCAUGUCUUCAAGCCCAAGGAGAAGUCCCAGGAUGGGUCUGAGCUAAUCACGGUGAUCGCAAUACAAAUGACUGCGCUAAGCAUGGCACAGCUGGCCUCAAUCCUGGCCAAUGCAACCUGAGAAUCAACUGCUGGUGGGAUUCUGGGGGAGUUUUUCUCACUGUUAUAAACAGAUGCAUAAGCAGAAAUACUUCUCUUUGCUGGACACUGUCAUGUCUAAUGUGACGCCUGGAUCACUGAAGCCCCCAGAGGCCACGGGACACGCUGAAAAUGGCCCAGUGGGAAGGCGGAAAGCCUUGGGUCCUGAAAAACACUUCUAAGUCACUGACAGACCAAACUGAAAUCAUCCUUUAUUUUGUUCUUUUCAUGUCAGAAAAAAAGACCCCUAAAUUCUUUAAGUGACUUUUUUGUUAAGUUUUUGUUUCUAGAAGCCCAAAAUAUCCUAAUAAUAA
This 940-nucleotide long non-coding RNA is filed under the name Pan troglodytes (chimpanzee). RNAcentral's name for it is "long non-coding RNA NONPTRT016936". Lineage: Eukaryota; Metazoa; Chordata; Mammalia; Primates; Hominidae. The record is from RNAcentral.